Molecule: transfer RNA, 67 nt
Filed under: Xerotyphlops vermicularis (Eurasian blind snake)
Lineage: Eukaryota; Metazoa; Chordata; Lepidosauria; Squamata; Typhlopidae
Description: tRNA-Ile
Source: RNAcentral
AGGACGUGUGCCCGAGCGUAGGGGUUACAUUGAUAGUGUAAAAACAGAGCUAACCCUCUCACCUCCU